CUUUCACUGGCACUCCAACUUAGCUGAGAUCAAUAUCCUGACACUGGACGGCCGCAACUUAUUUUCAACAGGGAACACUUAAGUACGGACUAUGAUUUGAAACAUAUCAGGUGAAAGAAUUUCAGAUAAUGUUGGAUAUUCCACGACUUUCGGACUUCUAAGUUCAGAAAGGUAGGAAAAAAUUAUUCACUGGACAGACUGUCGACACCAGAGGAAACAGUAAAUUAUUUUGUACUUCAAGAUAGAAAACAUGAGUUUCGUUGUAUUAUUUAAUCCGAAAAUUUGAUGAAGCUCCCGUUGGUUUACUGUCAUAACAAAAUAAGUUCUCAUCCAACAAAUGAAUGUAUGGAACUCAAUUAGUGUCGACGUUGACCAGAGAAUAUUGACGGAAUACUUGAAUCAUAAAUGAUUAACAGACAUUCAACCUUGACGGCAAGAUGUUCACAGUGAAUGUUGUUUUGUCGUUCCUUCCUAAGACACUAGCACGAAAACGCAAAAAAGAUUAAGUUCCUUUAUUUAGGGGUGUAAGUGGCUCUACCACGACCUUCUGAGCCAAAGCCAACCUCUCCUGCCCGCGGCGCACCCUGCCAAUCAACGAACGAGGCUCUGGCGGAGACGUGGUCGCAAAAGAACCAAAAACACAGCCCUCAGGUUCGAUCGACCGCAACCUUACCAGUACGCGAUGACGUCUCUUUGUUAAUGUUACAUUCGAUUCACGUAUACUUUAAAUAAUUCAUUCGGCUAUUUAACUUUCAUUAAUUCUCAACGUGUCAGCCUGUUUUUAAUGAUUCUUACUAUGUAACCACGAUUUACUAAAUUUAUUUUCACAUGUAAUAAAUAUUGGUCUAUGGUUGAGCUAUUGUAGUUUGACGACUUGUAACUUAAUGUUAGAUUGUAGGUUUUAAGUGUAUGAAUAUUUAAUCUCUCAAUGUCAUAGCUGUGCUUUUUAAUGUAAUCUAAUAUAUGGCUAUUAGAAUAAUUAUGAAACAGACACACGCACACACACACAAUCGAAUAUUAGAAAAACGUAUUUAACGACAUUAGUAUUAAUUAAAUUCUCUAACUUAAUAUUUCAUUAAAUACAUUAUUAUCGCUCAUGAGUGUAUCUUAAUCUUUAUAUUAAAUUGAUGUGUAGUAGAAAA
Molecule: long non-coding RNA, 1142 nt
Filed under: Bombyx mandarina (wild silkworm)
Lineage: Eukaryota; Metazoa; Arthropoda; Insecta; Lepidoptera; Bombycidae
Description: uncharacterized LOC114250033, transcript variant X1
Source: RNAcentral